AACGAACGCUGGCGGCGCGCCUAACACAUGCAAGUCGAACGAGAAGGCGUAGCAAUACGCUUGUAGAGUGGCGAACGGGUGAGUAAUACGUGGGUGACCUACCCUCGAGUGGGAAGUAACCCGCCGAAGGCGGGCGUAAUGCCGCGUACGCUUCCGUCCUCACGGGGACGGAAGGAAAGACUGUACCGUGGGUACGGCGCUCAAGGAUGGGCUCACGUCCUAUCAGCUUGUUGGUAGGGGUAACGGCCACCAAGCUACGACGGGUAGGCUGGUCUGAGAGGACGAUCAGCCACACUGG
Molecule: ribosomal RNA, 298 nt
Filed under: uncultured bacterium
Lineage: Bacteria
Description: partial 16S ribosomal RNA
Rfam family: Bacterial small subunit ribosomal RNA
Source: RNAcentral